GUUAUGAUGUGCUCAUACUGCUGAUUUUUACGUUCCUUUUGCUGCUAGAAAAAAUAGCUAUGGUAAUAUUUUUUUCAUUCAAAACUAUCUAUGCAGCAUGUGUGCCACUCAAGUGCAACAGUUCACGAGGCAUCCCAGGCCCCGAAAGGAGAAGUUGGAAGAAGAUGCAAGAGCAGCAUGCCAAUGUUGUUGAAUAUGCCAGCACGAAGUUUCCAGGCGCAAGUGUUUCUUAUAUAAAAGAAAGCCUAUUCUCUCCCCUCACAAGGGAAAUAAAAUCACUAUAUAAAAAUGC
Long non-coding RNA from Dermacentor silvarum, 292 nucleotides. RefSeq lists it as uncharacterized. The record is from RefSeq and is a predicted model, not a curated record. Lineage: Eukaryota; Metazoa; Arthropoda; Arachnida; Ixodida; Ixodidae. The transcript has 2 exons.